AGUCUUGCAAUUGGAUUGAGAACAACGUACAACUCUUAUCGAUAAGCCAUUGGAGGGCAAGUCUGGUGCCAGCAGCCGCGGUAAUUCCAGCUCCAAUAGCGUAUAUUAACGUUGUUGCAGUUAAAAAGCUCGUAGUUGAAGUGAGGGAGUGUGUGUUCAUGAGAGCUAGUCUCGAGUGUUCACAACCUCCCCCCUCCAAUCGGUGUAGUGGGGUAUUCAGUUAUUUCACUACUCCUUUGGUCGUUUACUGUGAGAAAAUUAGAGUGUUCAAAGCGGGCGUUUGUUUGAAUAGAUUAGCAUGGAAUAAUGAUUGAAGGCUUUCGUGUUCGAUUUGAUUGGUUUGUUCAUGGAAGCAAGGUUAAAAGGAACAGUUGGGGGUAUUCAUAUUCACUAGUUAGAGGUGAAAUUCUCGGAUUUAUGGAAGAUGAACAAGG
This 434-nucleotide ribosomal RNA is filed under the name Blastocystis sp. RNAcentral describes it as "SSU rRNA". It matches the Rfam family "Eukaryotic small subunit ribosomal RNA", at positions 499 to 944 of the family's 1831-position model. The record is from RNAcentral. Lineage: Eukaryota; Bigyra; Opalinata; Blastocystidae.